GAGAGGUCAGUCUAACUCUGUGUUGUUCAUACUCUAGGUUCUGAGAGAGUGGUCAGUCUAACUAUGUGUUGUUCAUACUCUAGGUUCUGAGAGAGUGGUCAGUCUAACUCUGUGUUGUUCAUACUCUUUCUGAGAGAGUGGUCAGUCUAACUAUGUGUUGUUCAUACUCUAGGUUCUGAGAGAGUGGUCAGUCUAACUCUGUGUUGUUCAUACUCUAGGUUCUGAGAGAGAGGUCAGUCUAACUAUGUGUUGUUCAUACUCUAGGUUCUGAGAGAGUGGUCAGUCUAACUCUGUGUUGUUCAUACUCUUUCUGAGAGAGUGGUCAGUCUAACUCUGUGUUGUUCAUACUCUAGGUUCUGAGAGAGUGGUCAGUCUAACUAUGUGUUGUUCAUAUUCUAGGUUCUGAGCGAGUGGUCAGUCUAACUCUGUGUUGUUCACACUCUAGGUUCUGAGAGAGUGGUCAG
This is a long non-coding RNA of Oncorhynchus tshawytscha (Chinook salmon), 464 nucleotides long. Lineage: Eukaryota; Metazoa; Chordata; Actinopteri; Salmoniformes; Salmonidae. The record is from Ensembl.